This 1429-nucleotide long non-coding RNA is filed under the name Astyanax mexicanus (Mexican tetra). RNAcentral describes it as "lncRNA (ENSAMXG00005011636.1)". The record is from RNAcentral. Lineage: Eukaryota; Metazoa; Chordata; Actinopteri; Characiformes; Acestrorhamphidae.
UUAACCAAAUACUUUCCCUAACUUAACCUCAUAAAACCAAACUUAAUGCCAGUAACUUCAUGAGUUAAAGUGAGAAACUUAUGAGAAAGUGCUGUAAGGAACUUUACACAGACAUUUGGGUUCAUAGAUUCACUUAUUUUAUUGUUUUAUUUUGGUUACAUUAUUGAGUUUCUUUCUGACCUGUUCCGGCUUUAACACUAGCUAUAUCUUUCCCACUGUGAGACUAAACAGAUGAUCUGAUCUUAAUGAGUGAGUUCUGUAUCAGUUCUGUGUUUUAGUGCACUGCUGAGUUAAACACCCCAUCAGCUCAUGAAAUAACAUCUCUGCAUGGAGGAGAUCUGUGGGACACACGUUAUCUUGUUUUUUGCGACGUCAAAGGAGAAAUCUCUCUCUAUCUCUCUCUCUCUCUCUCUCUCUCUCUCUCUCUCUCACUCUCACUCUCACCAGAGCGGAGCUGGUUACCUCUGGAGGGAUAGUGGAGGGGAAUUCAGUGACUCUGAGCUGCAGCAGUGAUGCAAACCCUCCUGUUCACUCCUACUCCUGGUUUAAUCAGAGAAAACCUGCAGACACACCACUGACUACAGACCAGAAUUACAGCAUCACCAGCAUCAGCUCACAGCACAUCGGAUUCUACUACUGCACUGCUCACAACCAGCUCGGACAUCACAGCUCAAAACCCAUUCAUCUGAAUGUGUUAUAUACAGAUAACUCAGUAAUGAAAUACGCAGUUUCUGGAGUUGCUGUGGUUCUGCUUCUUAUGAUCAUUGCUGGCUUUCUGUGGAUGAGGAAACGAUCUGGAGCUUCCAGCAGCAGAAGAGAAGAGAACAGAAGAACUCAUGUUGUGUAUGAGACCGUCUCAGACCUGGCCACAACCUCCACCCUGAGAACAACAGCAGCCUCAGAUGAUCAGGAUGGGGUUCAAUACUGCAGUGUUCAGUUCAAACGCUCUCACGCGGAGGAAGCUGCUCUGUACUCCACUGUCCAACACGGAAAAGCUCCUAAGCAGGAAGACGAGGUCGUGUACAGCAGAGUGAAAUCUGUUAAACCCUGAGCUCUAGACAAAACACUGCAUUCAUGAGAUUAUGCUGGUGUGGGUUAACGCUGGUUUUAAACAGGCACAAACAUUUUAGUGAUAAUUGCACCCCCUUGCUUUAGCGCAGUGUAUAAAUUCAUUUUCUUAAAACCAAAAAUAAGACCUUUUUGUGUCAGUGUAAAACUGGGAAUGUUUAUGUUACAAGUUAACCGAGGGCAGCAGUGAGAGGAAGUUCACUCAGGCAGGUUUUCAAGAGGGAGUGUCCCGUGCAGCAUUUAUUUUACUUUUUUUGUUCUUUCUUUUUUUUUUUUUAUUUUUUUUUUUAGAAAUGCAAUAUUUACAAUGCAUAAAAAAAAAAAAAAUAAAAUAAACAAAACUUCAAAAUAUAGAAAGAAA